RNAcentral lists this transfer RNA (74 nucleotides) under Selaginella tamariscina. Its description in RNAcentral is "tRNA-Met". It matches the Rfam family "tRNA". Rfam says of the family: Transfer RNA (tRNA) molecules are approximately 80 nucleotides in length. Their secondary structure includes four short double-helical elements and three loops (D, anti-codon, and T loops). The record is from RNAcentral. Lineage: Eukaryota; Viridiplantae; Streptophyta; Lycopodiopsida; Selaginellales; Selaginellaceae.
CAUAGGGCGGAGCAGCUUAUUGGCCCGCAAGGCUUGUCGUUUUGGGACCACGGGUUCGAAUCCCGUCUCCGCCG